Molecule: ribosomal RNA, 425 nt
Filed under: uncultured bacterium
Lineage: Bacteria
Description: partial 16S ribosomal RNA
Rfam family: Bacterial small subunit ribosomal RNA
Source: RNAcentral
GUGGGGAAUAUUGGGCAAUGGGCGCAAGCCUGACGCAGCCAUGCCGCGUGAAUGAUGAAGGUCUUAGGAUUGUAAAAUUCUUUCACCGGGGACGAUAAUGACGGUACCCGGAGAAGAAGCUCCGGCUAACUUCGUGCCAGCAGCCGCGGUAAUACGAAGGGGGCUAGCGUUGCUCGGAAUUACUGGGCGUAAAGGGCGCGUAGGCGGACAGCUUAGUCAGAGGUGAAAGCCCAGGGCUCAACCUUGGAAUUGCCUUUGAUACUGGCUGUCUUGAGUUUGGGAGAGGUGAGUGGAACUCCGAGUGUAGAGGUGAAAUUCGUAGAUAUUCGGAAGAACACCAGUGGCGAAGGCGAAUCACUGGCCCAAUACUGACGCUGAGGCGCGAAAGCGUGGGGAGCAAACAGGAUUAGAAACCCGGGUAGUCC